This 69-nucleotide transfer RNA is filed under the name Sergia lucens. Its description in RNAcentral is "tRNA-Trp". It matches the Rfam family "tRNA". Rfam says of the family: Transfer RNA (tRNA) molecules are approximately 80 nucleotides in length. Their secondary structure includes four short double-helical elements and three loops (D, anti-codon, and T loops). Lineage: Eukaryota; Metazoa; Arthropoda; Malacostraca; Decapoda; Sergestidae. The record is from RNAcentral. RNAcentral also lists the same sequence under 1 other name.
AAAGCUUUAAGUUAUUUAAACUUACAGCCUUCAAAGUUGUCAAAAGAGGUUAUAAUCCCCUAAGCUUUA